UUAGAUAUUUAGAUAUUAAGAUAUUUAGAUAUUAUUUCAGAAAUAUCUAUAAAUGGAGGAGGGAAACCAAACUACAGGAAAACCACCAGGUCCAACAGCAGAGGAAACUUUAUUCUUUAGACUUGCGUCAGCAGUUGAAGGAAUUACUUUGUAUAUUAUUGUUACGCAAAUCCUACCAAGUAUUUACGCAAAGCGUCACAGGCUAUGAUAAACCUAGCUAUGUUGGACUAGGAUUAACCUAUCUAUGUAUCUUGUGUUUUGACGGGCGGAUUUUUGGUUUGUGUUCUAUGUUAGACUAGGAUUAACCUAUCUAUGUAUCCUUUUACUCAUAAUUAUAAGAUUUUAUGAUUUUAUGGAAACUCAGUUGUUUAAAGUGAUGAACAAUGAAGGAAAGAUGAGAUUUCUCCUCUAUGGUAUUGGACCUCUAGAAUGUGUGUUUGAUCUGAGCCUGGUCUGUUUAUCUCUGGAAACUAUACUAGAUGUAAACUCAGCUCUUUUCACAGGAACAGAUUCUUACUGAUUCUUCCUGAUCC
Molecule: RNA transcript, 533 nt
Organism: Eurytemora carolleeae
Lineage: Eukaryota; Metazoa; Arthropoda; Copepoda; Calanoida; Temoridae
Exons: 7
Source: RefSeq, a predicted model, not a curated record